CCUACGGUGGACAGCAGUGAGGAAUAUUGGUCAAUGGUCGCGAGACUGAACCAGCCAAGUAGCGUGAAGGAUGACUGCCCUACGGGUUGUAAACUUCUUUUAUACGGGAAUAAAAUGCGGCACGUGUGCCGUUUUGUAUGUACCUCAUGAAUAAGGAUCGGCUAAUUCCGUGCCAGCAGCCGCGGUAAUACGGAGGAUCCGGGCGUUAUCCGGAUUUAUUGGGUUUAAAGGGAGCGUAGGUGGGUUGUUAAGUCAGUCGUGAAAGUCUGUGGCUCAACCGUAGAACUGCGAUGGAAACUGGCUGCCUUGAGUACAGUUGAGGUAUGCGGAAUUCGUGGUGUAGCGGUGAAAUGCUUAGAUAUCACGAAGAACUCCGAUUGCGAAGGCAGCCUACUAAACUGCCACUGACACUGAUGCUCGAAAGUGUGGGUAUCGAACAGGAUUAGAUACCCUGGUAGUC
This 460-nucleotide ribosomal RNA is filed under the name uncultured bacterium. RNAcentral describes it as "partial 16S ribosomal RNA". It matches the Rfam family "Bacterial small subunit ribosomal RNA", at positions 338 to 795 of the family's 1533-position model. The record is from RNAcentral.